RNAcentral lists this ribosomal RNA (603 nucleotides) under uncultured bacterium. RNAcentral describes it as "bacterial SSU rRNA". The stretch from base 1 to 522 matches the Rfam family "Bacterial small subunit ribosomal RNA", at positions 338 to 873 of the family's 1533-position model. The record is from RNAcentral.
CCUACGGGAGGCAGCAGUGGGGAAUAUUGGACAAUGGGCGAAAGCCUGAUCCAGCAAUGCCGCGUGAGUGAUGAAGGCCUUAGGGUCGUAAAGCUCUUUUACCAGGGAUGAUAAUGACAGUACCUGGAGAAUAAGCUCCGGCUAACUCCGUGCCAGCAGCCGCGGUAAUACGGAGGGAGCUAGCGUUGUUCGGAAUUACUGGGCGUAAAGCGUGCGUAGGCGGUUAUUCAAGUCAGAGGUGAAAGCCCGGGCGUCAACCCCGGAACGGCCUUUGAAACUAGAUAACUAGAAUCUUGGAGAGGUCAGUGGAAUUCCGAGUGUAGAGGUGAAAUUCGUAGAUAUUCGGAAGAACACCAGUGGCGAAGGCGACUGACUGGACAAGUAUUGACGCUGAGGUACGAAAGCGUGGGGAGCAAACAGGAUUAGAUACCCUGGUAGUCCACGCCGUAAACGAUGAUAACUAGCUGUCCGGACACUUGGUGUUUGGGGUGGCCGCAGCUACGACAUUAAGUUAUUACCGUCCGUCGGGUAGGUACGGUCGCGAGAAUAAACUAACAAGAAGUAGUACGCGNGAGACGAGCGACGACGACGACGAGGAGGAGG